UUGUUUCCCAUCUAGUGUUGUCUAUGAUAAACCAAUUGAGAUGACAGAGUCUGCUGCUUUGCCUGACUCAUAUGAUGUUUCUCAAGCUGCUUGUUGAUGAAUGAUCAAUGGACUAUGUCAUUGGUGGGGAUGAUUUUGAGUUUGGCCAUUGCCUUUGGACUUUCAAGCUCUGAGACAGGAGGCCCAUGUACUUCUCAUUGAUCAUCAAGACCACAGGAUAUAAUCAUUCGCUUGGUCCCAAAAUUUGGCUGCUGAGUGCUAUGUCAGAAAAAGGUAGUUUGGAAGCCUAAUUACUUGUUUUUUUCUUAUAAUUGGAACUAAUUUGGGAGUAUGAACAAGUUUUUAGCAUGACCAAUCUAAAACUUGGGAGUGUGAAACUAUUUUUAGCAUGAAUCAGCUCACACUCUUGCUCUUGUGCAAAGAAAAUGAUGUCAACAUGUAUGCCAAAUUUCUUAAAAUGUGAUAAAAUUAAGUU
Molecule: long non-coding RNA, 475 nt
Organism: Pistacia vera
Lineage: Eukaryota; Viridiplantae; Streptophyta; Magnoliopsida; Sapindales; Anacardiaceae
Exons: 3
Source: RefSeq, a predicted model, not a curated record